Molecule: ribosomal RNA, 292 nt
Filed under: uncultured bacterium
Lineage: Bacteria
Description: partial 16S ribosomal RNA
Rfam family: Bacterial small subunit ribosomal RNA
Source: RNAcentral
GUGCCAGCAGCCGCGGUAAUACGUAGGGAGCAAGCGUUGUCCGGAAUCAUUGGGCGUAAAGAGCGCGUAGGCGGCCGUGUAAGUCCGCUCUGAAAGUCAAAGGCUCAACCUUUGAAAGCGGGUGGAUACUGCACGGCUAGAGUCCGGAAGAGGCGAGUGGAAUUCCUGGUGUAGCGGUGGAAUGCGCAGAUAUCAGGAGGAACACCAACGGCGAAGGCAGCUCGCUGGGACGGUACUGACGCUGAGGCGCGAAAGCGUGGGGAGCAAACAGGAUUAGAUACCCCCGUAGUCC